RNAcentral lists this transfer RNA (72 nucleotides) under Camelus bactrianus (Bactrian camel). It matches the Rfam family "tRNA". From Rfam's summary of the family: Transfer RNA (tRNA) molecules are approximately 80 nucleotides in length. Their secondary structure includes four short double-helical elements and three loops (D, anti-codon, and T loops). The record is from Rfam by way of RNAcentral. Lineage: Eukaryota; Metazoa; Chordata; Mammalia; Artiodactyla; Camelidae. RNAcentral also lists the same sequence under 3 other names.
GAUGGUACAGCUCAGUGGUAGAGUGCGUGCUUAGCAUGUGUGAGGUCCUGGGUUCAAUCCCCAGUCCCUCCA